GCUCUGCUGAUGAGUCCCACACAGGAGGAAACAGUUGUCUAGUAC
This 45-nucleotide non-coding RNA is filed under the name Echinostoma caproni. The record is from RNAcentral. Lineage: Eukaryota; Metazoa; Platyhelminthes; Trematoda; Plagiorchiida; Echinostomatidae.